CGGACGGGUGAGUAACGCGUGAGAAUCUAACUUCAGGACGGGGACAACAGUUGGAAACGACUGCUAAUACCCGAUGUGCCGCAAGGUGAAACCUAAUUGGCCUGAAGAAGAGCUUGCGUCUGAUUAGCUAGUUGGUGGGGUAAAGGCCUACCAAGGCAACGAUCAGUAGCUGGUCUGAGAGGAUGAGCAGCCACACUGGGACUGAGACACGGCCCAGACUCCUACGGGAGGCAGCAGUGGGGAAUUUUCCGCAAUGGGCGAAAGCCUGACGGAGCAACGCCGCGUGAGGGAGGAAGGUCUUUGGAUUGUAAACCUCUUUUCUCAAGGAAGAAGUUCUGACGGUACUUGAGGAAUCAGCCUCGGCUAACUCCGUGCCAGCAGCCGCGGUAAUACGGGGGAGGCAAGCGUUAUCCGGAAUUAUUGGGCGUAAAGCGUCCGCAGGUGGUCAGCCAAGUCUGCCGUCAAAUCAGGUUGCUUAACGACCUAAAGGCGGUGGAAACUGGCAGACUAGAGAUCAGUAGGGGUAGCAGGAAUUCCCAGUGUAGCGGUGAAAUGCGUAGAGAUUGGGAAGAACAUCGGUGGCGAAAGCGUGCUACUGGGCUGUAUCUGACACUCAGGGACGAAAGCUAGGGGA
This 634-nucleotide ribosomal RNA is filed under the name uncultured cyanobacterium. RNAcentral's name for it is "bacterial SSU rRNA". It matches the Rfam family "Bacterial small subunit ribosomal RNA", at positions 99 to 767 of the family's 1533-position model. The record is from RNAcentral. Lineage: Bacteria; Bacillati; Cyanobacteriota.